Molecule: ribosomal RNA, 234 nt
Filed under: uncultured bacterium
Lineage: Bacteria
Description: partial 16S ribosomal RNA
Rfam family: Bacterial small subunit ribosomal RNA
Source: RNAcentral
GAUCAUGGCUCAGGACGAACGCUGGCGGCGCGCCUAACACAUGCAAGUCGAACGAGAGAGAAGGAGCUUGCUUCUUCGAUCGAGUGGCGAACGGGUGAGUAACGCGCGAGGAACCUGCCUCAAAGAGGGGGACAACAGUCGGAAACGACUGCUAAUACCGCAUAAGCCCACGGGUCGGCAUCGACCUGAGGGAAAAGGAGUGAUCCGCUUUGAGAUGGCCUCGCGUCCGAUUAG